Molecule: signal recognition particle RNA, 203 nt
Filed under: Thalassiosira minuscula
Lineage: Eukaryota; Bacillariophyta; Thalassiosirophyceae; Thalassiosirales; Thalassiosiraceae
Description: partial Bacterial large signal recognition particle RNA
Rfam family: Bacterial large signal recognition particle RNA
About the family: The signal recognition particle (SRP) is a universally conserved ribonucleoprotein involved in the co-translational targeting of proteins to membranes. Archaeal SRP consists of a 7S RNA and homologues of the eukaryotic SRP19 and SRP54 proteins.
Source: RNAcentral
AGGUGGGGAGGUAGCGGUUCCCUGUACUCGAAAUCCGCUUUAUGCGAGACUUAAUUCCUUCGUUGAGGGUGUACUUUUGUGAAGUCUGCCCGAAGCACGAGGUGUUUGAAGAUUUCGGUCCUAUGCAAUAUGAACCCAUGAAUCAUGUCAGGUCCUGACGGAAGCAGCAUUAAGUGGACACUCAUAUGUGCCGUAGGGUAGCC